AUUGAACGCUGGCGGCAUGCUUUACACAUGCAAGUCGAACGGUAACAGGCCUUCGGGUGCUGACGAGUGGCGAACGGGUGAGUAAUGCAUCGGAACGUACCCAGAGGUGGGGGAUAACGCAGCGAAAGCUGUGCUAAUACCGCAUGUGAUCUGAGGAUGAAAGCGGGGGACCGAGCAGCAAUGUUUGGCCUCGCGCCUUUGGAGCGGCCGAUGUCGGAUUAGCUAGUUGGUGGGGUAAAGGCCUACCAAGGCGACGAUCCGUAGCUGGUCUGAGAGGACGACCAGCCACACUGGGACUGAGCCACGGCCCAGACUCCUACGGGAGGCAGCAGUGGGGAAUUUUGGACAAUGGGCGCAAGCCUGAUCCAGCAAUGCCGCGUGCGGGAAGAAGGCCUUCGGGUUGUAAACCGCUUUUGGCAGGAACGAAACGGUGUCCGCUAAUACCGGGCGCUAAUGACGGUACCUGCAGAAUAAGCACCGGCUAACUACGUG
This 492-nucleotide ribosomal RNA is filed under the name uncultured bacterium. RNAcentral describes it as "partial 16S ribosomal RNA". It matches the Rfam family "Bacterial small subunit ribosomal RNA", at positions 29 to 507 of the family's 1533-position model. The record is from RNAcentral.